GACGAACGCUGGCGGCGUGCUUAACACAUGCAAGUCGAGCGGAAAGGCCCUUUGGGGUACUCGAGCGGCGAACGGGUGAGUAACACGUGAGUAAUCUGCCCUGCACUUUGAGAUAACUGCCGGAAACGGUGGCUAAUACCGGAUAUGACUACAUGGCGCAUGUUGUGUGGUGGAAAGUUUUUUCGGUGUGGGAUGUGCUCGCGGCCUAUCAGCUUGAUGGUGGGUAAUGGCCUACCAUGGCUUUGACGGGUAGCCGGCCUGAGAGGGUGACCGGCCACACUGGGACUGAGACACGGCCCAGACUCCUACGGGAGCAGCAGUGGGAAUAUUGGACAAUGGGCGGAAGCCUGAUCCAGCAACGCCGCGUGAGGGAUGACGGCCUUCGGUUGUAACCUACUUUCUACCACUGACGAAGCGCAAGUGACGGUAGUAGGGAGAAGGAAGCACCGGCCAACUACGUG
Molecule: ribosomal RNA, 461 nt
Filed under: uncultured bacterium
Lineage: Bacteria
Description: bacterial SSU rRNA
Rfam family: Bacterial small subunit ribosomal RNA
Source: RNAcentral